RNAcentral lists this long non-coding RNA (1996 nucleotides) under Equus asinus (donkey). RNAcentral describes it as "lncRNA (ENSEASG00005036919.1)". Lineage: Eukaryota; Metazoa; Chordata; Mammalia; Perissodactyla; Equidae. The record is from RNAcentral.
UUCCGGCCGUCUCUCCGCCCGGAAGCCUGUAACACAAAGUCCGUGCGAGUUGCAAGUAUCGCGAGGUUUGAUGUGGCCUGCCCGCCUGGUGUUCAUCUGGCGGCGAGGAGAGAGCCCGGGAGGUGUUCGCGGGCUCUGACCCGCUGUGGUGCAUUAAGGGCCAGCGAGAAGGGUGGCGGCCUGGCGGGAGACCGCCGUGCCCGGGUCGUGGCCUCUGGCUUCUGUUUGCGCUUGGGCGCUUCGUCGUGUCGCCGCCCGCGCGGGCGCUCUGGGAGGCGGCGAUGCCCUCGAUGCUGAGGCGUCGCCGGGCGUACGCGACUGCUGAGGGCGCAGAACCGGCCGCCGGCGCCUGGGCGCAAGGGCCGAGGUGAAACGCUGAAGAUUCGCCGCGUUCUCCGUGUGCCGUCUGAGGCUGCCGGCCGUCUGGAUGAUCCGUGACGGGAAGACGCUAAGCAAAUCAUGAAGCUGCUUUUGUGGGCAUCUUCGGGGCAGCCUGCCACCAACGGGUUAAUGGAGACGGUUUAUCUAACGCUUCUCCAUGCGCUGUACAGUGUUCAUCCAACACGGGGCCCUGCACGUGUCGGAAUGCCCGCCUGGCCCGCACGGCGCUUCCUGGAGCUGGGUCAGCCCGAAUGGGCCUGUGCUGAGUCCAGGGCGCUGUAACAAGCCACCACGGGCUUCGUGGCAGGAGAUGGCACGGGAGUGCUGUCCGACGGACAGCUCGACGGGAGAUCCGUUUCCUGGCCUUCUCCAGCUUCCGGAGGCUGUCCACGUUCCUGGGCUCGUGGCCACCUCCCUCCCCUCUUCAAAGCCAGGGGUGUUGCACGUCCGACCCUUCCGUAAUCACAUCUGCCUCUGAUCGCAGCUGGGAAAGAUUCUUUUAUUUUGAGGGCUCGUGUGAUAAGAUUGGGUCCACCUGAAUAAUCCAGGAUACUCUUCUCGUUUCAAGGUUAGGAAGAAAAAAUUGGAAAACAUCCAGUGACACCCAAUGUACUAGCCCAGCUGCCUUGAUUCAUUUCGAAUUCCAAUGCUGGUCUUGAAGAGACGCUUCGAAAGAGGUCCAUAGCGAUGUUCUUCCCACUCCUGAAGAAUACAGAAUGGACUGGACGCCUGCAUUUGAAAUGAGGAGAGAAUACUCGCUUCCAAAUGCUGCGUCUGAGCACCGCUGGCAGGCACAUCAGCGAUGGAGACAGAUGCCAGCAGCCAGCCAGACCCCCAUGGCAGGGCUGCAUCUAAAGUGGAUCCAGUGUGCAGGUGCCUGAGCUCCAGGUCCCCGGUGAGCAGCUGCCCGAGCUCCAGCUCAGCUGUGGUCUGAGAUCACUUCAUGUGAUUUAAAUGAAAGAAGAGGGCAUGAAGGCUGAGGCAGACGGAUUACACCACAGAGGGGGCCACUGGCUGCUCCAGAUGAAGGUGAGAACAACGCAAGGUUCCCGCCAAAAUGCCCCGGGAAGAAAUUCCCUUCAGAGCCUGAAUCUGGCAAAAACUCCAACACCGUGUUAAUCGCCAUAGCUGGUUAAUCGCCAUAGCUGGAUUCGAUCAUCUGCCCUGGAAAUACACGGGAGGCAGCUGGCUCGGGCACAGCUUUAAAAGUAGAAGUGGUGCACACUGAUCUUAAGUCCUAACUUCGAGUUACUGUGAGACCUCGCAGAAUCUGUGUGCUUUCCUUCCCCAAAUAUGUAAAUGAUAUUUUAACAUGUAUGUGGAUGAAUUUGGCCUGAGAGCUACCUGGAAGAGAGGCGUAUGUUUUACUUUUAGAUAAUUAUUAAUGUUUUGUCAAAUAAUUCUAUUAACACAAUUUCUAGAUAAAUAUUUUGUAAUAAAGACAAGGGGGGGCCGGCCUGGUGGCAUAGUGUUUAAUUUCGUGUGCUCUGCCUUGGUGGCUCAGGGUUUGCGGUUCAGAUCCCUGGCGCGGACCUGCACACCGCUCAUCAGGCCAUGCUGUGCCGCAUACAAAGUAGAGGAAGACUGGCACAUAUGUUACCUCAAGGACAAUCUU